UUGGACCAUAACCUAGGGAAAGGAAGAAAGAUGCCAGCUCUCAAAAGAGGAACGUCAACAUCAGAUUGUAAGAAAGUGACAUGGAUGGCAAUUAUUGGUGUAUUAUUAAAAAACCGUCUCCCCUAGUGGCUUCAAGAAAGCAAAUGGUCAUACUGAAGAGGCCCACACAGGAAAAAAGUAAAGGUGGCCUUCAGCCAAUAACCAGCAACAAACUGAGAUCCUUAUUCCAAAAGACAUUAAGAAACUGAAUUCUCACAAUGAUCACACGAGGCAGGAAGCAGAUCCUUCUACAAACACAUGGUGAGAUCAAAGUGAAGCCCCAGCCAACACCUGCACUAUAUUCUUGCAAACAACCCAGACAGCAAUGACGGAGUCUGCACAAUCCCUACAGAUGGGCGACAUCUCCCCUCAAACUCCUCUCAUCUGCGGUCAGGAACUCUGGAGGAGGUUUCAGGCUUCAGGGGAGUUGGAAGGGCUUUCUAAGACCUGAUGCACUAUGU
Molecule: long non-coding RNA, 500 nt
Organism: Hyaena hyaena (striped hyena)
Lineage: Eukaryota; Metazoa; Chordata; Mammalia; Carnivora; Hyaenidae
Exons: 3
Source: RefSeq, a predicted model, not a curated record